CUUAAAGGAAUUGACGGAAGGCACCACCAGGAGUGGAAUCUGCGCUUAAUUGACAACGCGGGAAAACUCACCAGGUCAGGACACGGUAAGGAUUGACGGACUGAAGGCUCUUUCUCGAUUCCGUGGAAAGUGGUGCAUGGCCGUUUUUGGUUGGUGGAUCGAUCCGUCUGGUUAAUUCCGUUAACGAACGAGACCUCGGCACUCCGAAUAGCGCGGCGGACGUCGCGGCCUCCGGGCCGUCUUCCGCGCGAGCUUCUUAGAGGGACCGUCCCCCCGCCGGGGAAGGAGGUGCGAGGCAACGACAGGUCUGUGAUGCCCUUAGAUGUUCUGGGCCGCACGCGCAUUACACUGACGCGUCCAACGGGUGACUCCCGACCCGAAGGGGCCGGGGAAUCCGCAAGGCGCGUCGUGAUGGGGAUUGAACGUUGCAAUUGUUGUUCACGAACGAGGAAUUCCUAGUAGGCGCGGGUCAUCAACCCGCGCCGAUUACGUCCCUGCCCUUUGUACACACCGC
RNAcentral lists this ribosomal RNA (514 nucleotides) under uncultured eukaryote. RNAcentral's name for it is "bacterial SSU rRNA". It matches the Rfam family "Eukaryotic small subunit ribosomal RNA", at positions 1143 to 1672 of the family's 1831-position model. The record is from RNAcentral.